UGCAACAUGAGUUUUUAUUUUCAAAUCAUGGUCAAUCCAAUGUAUGUCCAGGCACAUCAUUUUAAAUACAAACGGACCUGUAGAUAAACCUAGAUUACAUCCGCUCACAACUGACACUCAUCUAGACUGAUAUGCAUCCAAGCACACACCAACAACCACCUUAUAUGCAUGUUGACUCUGAAAUUCAUGAGCGACAAAACAUUAUUCACACUCAGUUUGAAAAUGUUGCUCAUCCUGAUUGAACAACUUGAAGAUAGACCUGACGCAUUUGAGAAAUUUGUAGUGGCAAGUUUCAAUCCCUCAGAAGUUUAUUGCUUUAGUGGUUGGGAACAACAACAUAAACAAGGUGACAGACAUCAAUAUUCAACACUAGAGCUCACUCCCACAGCCACCAGCCACCAAUGCCAUGAUACCAAGAAACCAAGCCAUUUUUUCUUUGUGUACAAGAACUAUCACCAGCCAUUUCGUUUUCCACACUUCCACAGCUACCAGCCAACAAAGAAAAACACAAGCCCGCCUCAUCCUGCCUUUUUACACAAUAAUGCUUCCACAACUCAGCCCUUCGGCGCCUUGCCACUUUUGGGGUAACCACGUCGGCAUCGUCAAUCUCUCACUGAUCCAUCUGCAUGCAACAGGUCAACAACAGUUUAACACAUGACAAAUCACAAGGGGCCCAAUAAGGGAAAACUAGACAAACAAAAUUAAUUCUGCUGGCUAUUUCGAGUUUCGACAACAGCAAGAGACAAAGCACCAGCCACCUACAUCACAUUCGGCAAAUACUGGAAGAAAUGCUAAAAAACAUAAAAUGUUUGCUGAUUCAAAGAAAAGUUCAUGAUUUUAAAAACAAAUGUUCGGGAAAUAAAAAAAGGUUCAUGAUUUUGAAAAAUGUUUACGUAUUAUUUUUUAAGAAUUUUAAAAAUGUUAAAAAAAUAUCUUAAAAAGUUUGUGAAUUACAAAAAAUAUCAUCGAUUCAAUAAAUGAAAAAUGUCCAUGAAUUUGAAAUAAAACCCUGCAUUUAACAAAAAUGUUCAUCAAACAAAGUUCAUGAAUUCCAAAAAAUGUUGGCUGAUUCAAAAAAUGUACCCAGCGGCGGAGGCCGGGGACCGCUGCUGUCGGGCAAGCUGCUUGGUGACGUAGAAGUAGGGCGGCUGAUAUUAUUCCGGUCAGGACGUGUGCAUGGCCGGCCGCGGCCGCGGCACCCCGCAUCCCCGCACCACAUGCCCCCUACACCCCGUUCCCAGUCCCGGCCGCCACCCCGCCACCCUUAUUGCUGGCCUCUUGAUCCUUUGCCUUGGUUUUUAGGCGACAACCUUGUUGUGCUGUCGAUUUGAUCCUCCAUGCCUCUGCUUUAUGUGGAUCCUCCACUUCCGCCAGUCCGGCAGCUCGUCGAGUAGGUCCAUGCGGCAGUGGAAGCGAAAAACACGGGAAUUGUGUUGCAGAGGGGCAGUGAUUGGAGCAGAGAGGGUGGAGAAAGGGGGGAUUAUGCGGAAACAAUGUGUCCGCUCCAAAUACACGGGCUCCGCCUCGUUUUGCUGCCAGGGGUGUCGGAGUCCUAUGUAGCGGAUGUUCGGACUCCCGCAAAGGCACCCUUGUUUGCUUCCGGUUUGCGGCAUUUCGGACAACCAGGGCGGUCCUUGGUCCGAUGAGGUACCGUGUUGGAUGGCAAAGUGCGCCCGCACCGCUCGGCCCCGAUGGUUGUGGAUGGUUUGAGGGUCCGUGUUGAAGUGUUUCUACUGGUUUUGUUGUAAGAGUAGUUCUUAGGGGUAAGUGUUGAGUGGAAUCCUCGCUCACCUCUUUUAGAGUUUGACCAUGUUGUAAUACUAUUAGGUUUCAUUUUCGGGACGGGGAUGGUGCCCUUUUCCUCUAAAAAAACAUCACAAUCUGCAAGUACAGCAAAGCGGCAUGACCUUACGUCCUUACCCAUACUGGAGGCUGUCACUGUGAGCUUGGGAGUGAAAUGCAUGGAAGCCAGACAACCAUGUUUUAAGUAGUUCUCCGAUUUUGGAACAACAUGCAAUCCAACGGCAGUUGCAAUCGGGCGCUAGGUGUCGAUCGUUCGAUCUUCAACAUCAUACAAAAAUCAGAUGAUAAUUGUGGUACGGGUCUCUAGUUUUUCUUUGAAACUAUUUCAUGUACACAGCACUUGUCCGAUUUUUGUACGACAUGCAAUCCGAAGGCGUGUUGCAAUCUGGUGCUAGGUGACGAUGGUGAUUGUCAGGACCCCGAUUCCAAGUCACAUCGAUCUAGCCGGUAACACCUCAUAUCACUUUGCGGUCUCACGCACGGUAUUCCCACGGGUGUCGCCUUACCAUGGCCCGGGACUGUUUGCGUCUUUUGGCUCACAUAUAUGAUAGUGUCGCUACCAUCCAUAUGACAGAGAACCCGGGCCGACAUGACUAGUCGUGAACCCAAAGUGGCACUAACUUACGGGGACAGGCAUACAUGAAUCAACAUCGAGCAUGUCGGUCAGCAGCGUUCGAAUCCGAGUGGAGCGUGGAAGCAGCAUUUACAGAAUGACUUAGAGAUUUGUGAAGUACAGACCCGUUGACUGAAACCUCUCUCACAAGCAAAACAUGAUCAAACCCCAUAACUCGUUGAGUCUUAAUCACAUGAUGAUGUGAACUAGUUUAAUGCCACUAGUAAACUCUAUGGAUGUUGGUCACAUGGCGAUGUGACGUGUGAAUGUUAAUCACAUGACGAUGUGAACUAGAUUAUUGACUCUAGUGCAAGUGGGAGACUGUUGAAAAUAUGCCCUAGAGGCAAUAAUAAAUUAGUUAUUAUUAUAUUUCCUUGUUCAUGAUAAUCGUUUAUUAUCCAUGCUAUAAUUGUGUUGAUAGGAAACUCAGAUACGUGUGUGGAUACAUAGACAACACCAUGUCCCUAGUAAGCCUCUAGUUGACUAGCUCGUUGAUCAACAGAUGGUUACGGUUUCCUGACCAUGGACAUUGGAUGUCGUUGAUAACGGGAUCACAUCAUUAGGAGAAUGAUGUGAUGGACAAGAACCAAUCCUAAGCCUAGCACAAAGAUCGUGUAGUUCGUAUGCUAAAGCUUUUCUAAUGUCAAGUAUCCUUGAGAAAGCAAAGUUGAAAGAUGAUGGUAGCAAUUACACGGACUGGGUCCGUAACUUGAGGAUUAUCCUCAUUGAUGCACAGAAGAAUUACGUCCUGGAAGCACCGCUGGGUGCCAGGCCUGCUGCAGGAGCAACACCAGAUGUUAUGAACGUCUGGCAGAGCAAAGCUGAUGACUACUCAAUAGUUCAGUGUGCCAUGCUUUACGGCUUAGAACCGGGUCUCCAACGAAGUCCUAAGUCACACGCGCAUCCCGCACGCGUAUGGAUCACCCUUUCUACUAUAUAUAGAGACGAUCUUAACUAGAACAAGAGCCCCGCUGCUGCCACGGAUCGAUGAGGUGGCGCAAGCCUGCAUCUCCGGCGGGCAUCUCUAGGGUGCUUUAAUGACCUAACAAUGAUGACGGUCUGCUUCGUUUCGUUUCUAGUGAAGACUGUCAUUACACGGCGGCUCAAGGACCACAUGCAUAUGCAAUUCCAACCGGAUCAACUUGUUUGAUCGCUCCCUGGUGCUGCUUUGUCAUUUCAUCAUUAUUCAAAUUCUAACAAAAAAGAAGAAAGGCGCUAGAGCUUGUAUGCAUUUACACUCGAAUCAACGCAUACGCAUUGCAGACUACAAUUAUCACUAAGCAUGCAACAUGAGUUUUUAUUUUCAAAUCAUGGUCAAUUCAAUGUAUAUCCAGGCACAUCGUUUUAAAUACAAACGGACCUGUAGAUAAACCUAGAUUACAUCCGCUCACAACUGACACUCAUCUAGACUGAUAUGCAUCCAAGCACACACCAACAACCACCUUAUAUGCAUGUUGACUCUGAAAUUCAUGAGCGGCAAAACAUUAUUCACACUCAGUUUGAAAAUGUUGCUCAUCCUGAUUGAACAACUUGAAGAUAGACCUGACGCAUUUGAGAAAUUUGUAGUGGCAAGUUUCAAUCCCUCAGAAGUUUAUUGCUUUAGUGGUUGGGAACAACAACAUAAACAAGGUGACAGACAUCAAUAUUCAACACUAGAGCUCACUCCCACAGCCACCAGCCACCAAUGCCAUGAUACCAAGAAACCAAGCCAUUUUUUCUUUGUGUACAAGAACUAUCACCAGCCAUUUCGUUUUCCACACUUCCACAGCUACCAGCCAACAAAGAAAAACACAAGCCCGCCUCAUCCUGCCUUUUUACACAAUAAUGCUUCCACAACUCAGCCCUUCGGCGCCUUGCCACUUUUGGGGUAACCACGUCGGCAUCGUCAAUCUCUCACUGAUCCAUCUGCAUGCAACAAGUCAACAACAGUUUAACACAUGACAAAUCACAAGGGGCCCAAUAAGGGAAAACUAGCCAAACAAAAUUAAUUCUGCUGGCUAUUUCGAGUUUCGACAACAGCAAGAGACAAAGCACCAGCCACCUACAUCACAUUCGGCAAAUACUGGAAGAAAUGCUAAAAAACAUAAAAUGUUUGCUGAUUCAAAUAAAAGUUCAUGAUUUUAAAAACAAAUGUUCGGGAAAUAAAAAAAGGUUCAUGAUUUUGAAAAAUGUUUACGUAUUAUUUUUUAAGAAUUUUAAAAAUGUUAAAAAAAUAUCUUAAAAAGUUUGUGAAUUACAAAAAAUAUCGUCGAUUCAAUAAAUGUCCGAUGAUUAAAAAAAUGUCCAUGAAUUUGAAAUAAAACCCUGCAUUUAACAAAUAUGUUCAUCAAACAAAGUUCAUGAAUUCCAAAAAAUGUUGGCUGAUUCAAAAAAUGUACCCAGCGGCGGAGGCCGGGGACCGCUGCUGUCGGCCAAGCUGCUUGGUGACGGAGAAGUAGGGCGGCUGAUAUUAUUCCGGUCAGGACGUGUGCAUGGCCGGCCGCGGCCGCGGCACCCCGCAUCCCCGCACCACAUGCCCCCUACACCCCGUUCCCAGUCCCGGCCGCCACCCCGCCACCCUUAUUGCUGGCCUCUUGAUCCUUUGCCUUGGUUUUUAGGCGACAACCUUGUUGUGUUGUCGAUUUGAUCCUCCAUGCCUCUGCUUUAUGUGGAUCCUCCACUUCCGCCAGUCCGGCAGCUCGUCGAGUAGGUCCAUGCGGCAGUGGAAGCAAAAAACACGGGAAUUGUGUUGCAGAGGGGCAGUGAUUGGAGCAGAGAGGGUGGAGAAAGGGGGGAUUAUGCGGAAACAAUGUGUCCGCUCCAAAUACACGGGCUCCGCCUCGUUUUGCUGCCAGGGGUGUCGGAGUCCUAUGUAGCGGAUGUUCGGACUCCCGCAAAGGCACCCUUGUUUGCUUCCGGUUUGCGGCAUUUCGGACAACCAGGGCGGUCCUUGGUCCGAUGAGGUACCGUGUUGGAUGGCAAAGUGCGCCCGCACCGCUCGGCCCCGAUGGUUGUGGAUGGUUUGAGGGUCCGUGUUGAAGUGUUUCUACUGGUUUUGUUGUAAGAGUACUUCUUAGGGGUAAGUGUUGAGUGGAAUCCUCGCUCACCUCUUUUAGAGUUUGACCAUGUUGUAAUACUAUUAGGUUUCAUUUUCGGGACGGGGUUGGUGCCCUUUUCCUCUACAAAAACAUCACAAUCUGCAAGUACAGCAAAGCGGCAUGACCUUACGUCCUUACCCAUACUGGAGGCUGUCACUGUGAGCUUGGGAGUGAAAUGCAUGGAAACCAGACAACCAUGUUUUAAGUAGUUCUCCGAUUUUGGAACAACAUGCAAUCCAACGGCAGUUGCAAUCGGGCGCUAGGUGUCGAUGGUUCGAUCUUCAACAUCAUACAAAAAUCAGAUGAUAAUUGUGGUACGGGUCUCUAGUUUUUCUUUGAAACUAUUUCAUGUACACAGCACUUGUCUGAUUUUUGUACGACAUGCAAUCCGAAGGCGUGUUGCAAUCUGGUGCUAGGUGACGAUGGUGAUUGUCAGGACCCCGAUUCCAAGUCACAUCGAUCUAGCCGGUAACACCUCAUACCAUUUUGCGGUCUCACGCACGGUAUUCCCACGGGUGUCGCCUUACCAUGGCCCGGGACUGUUUGCGUCUUUUGGCUCACAUAUAUGAUAGUGUCGCUACCAUCCAUAUGACAGAGAACCCGGGCCGACAUGACUAGUCGUGAACCCAAAGUGGCACUAACUUACGGGGACAGGCAUACAUGAAUCAACAUCGAGCAUGUCGGUCAGCAGCGUUUGAAUCCGAGUGGAGCGUGGAAGCAGCAUUUACAGAAUGACCUAGAGAUUUGUGAAGUACAGACCUGUUGACUGAAACCUCUCUCACAAGCAAAACAUGAUCAAACCCCAUAACUCGUUGAGUCUUAAUCACAUGAUGAUGUGAACUAGUUUAAUGACACUAGUAAACUCUAUGGAUGUUGGUCACAUGGCGAUGUGACGUGUGAAUGUUAAUCACAUGACGAUGUGAACUAGAUUAUUGACUCUAGUGCAAGUGGGAGACUGUUGGAAAUAUGCCCUAGAGGCAAUAAUAAAUUAGUUAUUAUUAUAUUUCCUUGUUCAUGAUAAUCGUUUAUUAUCCAUGCUAUAAUUGUGUUGAUAGGAAACUCAGAUACGUGUGUGGAUACAUAGACAACACCAUGUCCCUAGUAAGCCUCUAGUUGACUAGCUCGUUGAUCAACAGAUGGUUACGGUUUCCUGACCAUGGACAUUGGAUGUCGUUGAUAACGGGAUCACAUCAUUAGGAGAAUGAUGUGAUGGACAAGAACCAAUCCUAAGCCUAGCACAAAGAUCGUGUAGUUCGUAUGUUAAAGCUUUUCUAAUGUCAAGUAUCCUUGAGAAAGCAAAGUUGAAAGAUGAUGGUAGCAAUUACACGGACUGGGUCCGUAACUUGAGGAUUAUCCUCAUUGAUGCACAGAAGAAUUACGUCCUGGAAACACCGCUGGGUGCCAGGCCUGCUGCAGGAGCAACACCAGAUGUUAUGAACGUCUGGCAGAGCAAAGCUGAUGACUACUCAAUUGUUCAAUGUGCCAUGCUUUACGGCUUAGAACCGGGUCUUCAACGAAGUCCUAAGUCACACGCGCAUCCCGCACGCGGAUGGAUCACCCUUUCUACUAUAUAUAGAGACGGUCUUAACUAGAACAAGAGCCCCGCUGCUGCCACGGAUCGAUGAGGUGGCGCAAGCCUGCAUCUCCGGCAGGCAUCUCUAGGGUGCUUUAAUGACCUAACAAUGAUGACGGUCUGCUUCGUUUCGUUUCCAGUGAAGACAGUCAUUACACGGCGGCUCAAGGACCACAUGCAUAUGCAAUUCCAACCGGAUCAACUUGUUUGAUCGCUCCCUGGUGCUGCUUUGUCAUUUCAUCAUUAUUCAAAUUCUAACAAAAAAAGAAGAAAGGCGCUAGAGCUUGUAUGCAUUUACAAUCGAAUCAACGCAUACGCAUUGCACACUACAAUUAUCACUAAGCAUGCAACAUGAGUUUUUAUUUUCAAAUCAUGGUCAAUCCAAUGUAUGUCCAGGCACAUCGUUUUAAAUACAAACCGACCUGUAGAUAAACCUAGAUUACAUCCGCUCACAACUGACACUCAUCUAGACUGAUAUGCAUCCAAGCACACACCAACAACCACCUUAUAUGCAUGUUGACUCUGAAAUUCAUGAGCGACAAAACAUUAUUCACACUCAGUUUGAAAAUGUUGCUCAUCCUGAUUGAACAACUUGAAGAUAGACCUGACACAUUUGAGAAAUUUGUAGUGGCAAGUUUCAAUCCCUCAGAAGUUUAUUGCUUUAGUGGUUGGGAACAACAACAUAAACAAGGUGACAGACAUCAAUAUUCAACACUAGAGCUCACUCCCACAGCCACCAGCCACCAAUGCCAUGAUACCAAGAAACCAAGCCAUUUUUUCUUUGUGUACAAGAACUAUCACCAGCCAUUUCGUUUUCCACACUUCCACAGCUACCAGCCAACAAAGAAAAACACAAGCCCGCCUCAUCCUGCCUUUUUACACAAUAAUGCUUCCACAACUCAGCCCUUCGGCGCCUUGCCACUUUUGGGGUAACCACGUCGGCAUCGUCAAUCUCUCACUGAUCCAUCUGCAUGCAACAGGUCAACAACAGUUUAACACAUGACAAAUCACAAGGGGCCCAAUAAGGGAAAACUAGCCAAACAAAAUUAAUUCUGCUGGCUAUUUCGAGUUUCGACAACAGCAAGAGACAAAGCACCAGCCACCUACAUCACAUUCGGCAAAUACUGGAAGAAAUGCUAAAAAACAUAAAAUGUUUGCCGAUUCAAAGAAAAGUUCAUGAUUUUAAAAAAAAUGUUCGGGAAAUAAAAAAAGGUUCAGGAUUAUAAAAAAUGUUUACGUAUUAUUUUUUAAGAAUUUUAAAAGUGUUAAAAAAAUAUCUUAAAAAGUUUGUGAAUUACAAAAAAUAUCUCGAUUCAAUAAAUGUCCGAUGAUUAAAAAAAUGUCCAUGAAUUUGAAAUAAAACCUUGCAUUUAACAAAAAUGUUCAUCAAACAAAGUUCAUGAAUUCCAAAAAAUGUUGGCGGAUUCAAAAAAUGUACCCAGCGGCGGAGGCCGGGGACUGCUGCUGUCGGCCAAGCUCCUUGGUGACGUAGAAGUAGGGCAGCUGAUAUUAUUCCGGUCAGGACGUGUGCAUGGCCGGCCGCGGCCGUGGCACCCCGCAUCCCCGCACCACAUGCCCCCUACACCCCGUUCCCAGUCCCGGCCGCCACCCCGCCACCCUUAUUGCUGGCCUCUUGAUCCUUUGCCUUGGUUUUUAGGCGACAACCUUGUUGUGCUGUCGAUUUGAUCCUCCAUGCCUCUGCUUUAUGUGGAUCCUCCACUUCCGCCAGUCCGGCAGCUCGUCGAGUAGGUCCAUGCGGCAGUGGAAGCGAAAAACACGGGAAUUGUGUUGCAGAGGGGCAGUGAUUGGAGCAGAGAGGGUGGAGAAAGGGGGGAUUAUGCGGAAACAAUGUGUCCGCUCCAAAUACACGGGCUCCGCCUCGUUUUGCUGCCAGGGGUGUCGGAGUCCUAUGUAGCGGAUGUUCGGACUCCCGCAAAGGCACCCUUGUUUGCUUCCGGUUUGCGGCAUUUCGGACAACCAGGGCGGUCCUUGGUCCGAUGAGGUACCGUGUUGGAUGGCAAAGUGCGCCCGCAUCGCUCGGCCCCGAUGGUUGUGGAUGGUUUGAGGGUCCGUGUUGAAGUGUUUCUACUGGUUUUGUUGUAAGAGUAGUUCUUAGGGGUAAGUGUUGAGUGGAAUCCUCGCUCACCUCUUUUAGAGUUUUACCAUGUUGUAAUACUAUUAGGUUUCAUUUUCGGGACGGGGUUGGUGCCCUUUUCCUCUAAAAAAACAUCACAAUCUGCAAGUACAUCAAAGCGGCAUGACCUUACGUCCUUACCCAUACUGGAGGCUGUCACUGUGAGCUUGGGAGUGAAAUGCAUGGAAACCAGACAACCAUGUUUUAAGUAGUUCUCCGAUUUUGGAACAACAUGCAAUCCAACGGCAGUUGCAAUCGGGCGCUAGGUGUCGAUGGUUCGAUCUUCAACAUCAUACAAAAAUCAGAUGAUAAUUGUGGUACGGGUCUCUAGUUUUUCUUUGAAACUAUUUCAUGUACACAGCACUUGUCCGAUUUUUGUACGACAUGCAAUCCGAAGGCGUGUUGCAAUCUGGUGCUAGGUGACGAUGGUGAUUGUCAGGACCCCGAUUCCAAGUCACAUCGAUCUAGCCGGUAACACCUCAUAUCACUUUGCGGUCUCACGCACGGUAUUCCCACGGGUGUCGCCUUACCAUGGCCCGGGACUGUUUGCGUCUUUUGGCUCACAUAUAUGAUAGUGUCGCUACCAUCCAUAUGACAGAGAACCUGGGCCGACAUGACUAGUCGUGAACCCAAAGUGGCACUAACUUACGGGGACAGGCAUACAUGAAUCAACAUCGAGCAUGUCGGUCAGCAGCGUUCGAAUCCGAGUGGAGCGUGGAAGCAACAUUUACAGAAUGACCUAGAGAUUUGCGAAGUACAGACCCGUUGACUGAAACCUCUCUCACAAGCAAAACAUGAUCAAACCCCAUAACUCGUUGAGUCUUAAUCACAUGAUGAUGUGAACUAGUUUAAUGACACUAGUAAACUCUAUGGAUGUUGGUCACAUGGCGAUGUGACGUGUGAAUGUUAAUCAGAUGACGAUGUGAACUAGAUUAUUGACUCUAGUGCAAGUGGGAGACUGUUGGAAAUAUGCCCUAGAGGCAAUAAUAAAUUAGUUAUUAUUAUAUUUCCUUGUUCAUGAUAAUCGUUUAUUAUCCAUGCUAUAAUUGUGUUGAUUGGAAACUCAGAUACGUGUGUGGAUACAUAGACAACACCAUGUCCCUAGUAAGCCUCUAGUUGACUAGCUCGUUGAUCAACAGAUGGUUACGGUUUCCUGACCAUGGACAUUGGAUGUCGUUGAUAACGGGAUCACAUCAUUAGGAGAAUGAUGUGAUGGACAAGAACCAAUCCUAAGCCUAGCACAAAGAUCGUGUAGUUCGUAUGCUAAAGCUUUUCUAAUGUCAAGUAUCCUUGAGAAAGCAAAGUUGAAAGAUGAUGGUAGCAAUUACACGGACUGGGUCCGUAACUUGAGGAUUAUCCUCAUUGCUGCACAGAAGAAUUACGUCCUGGAAGCACCACUGGGUGCCAGGCCUGCUGCAGGAGCAACACCAGAUGUUAUGAACGUCUGGCAGAGCAAAGCUGAUGACUACUCAAUAGUUCAGUGUGCCAUGCUUUACGGCUUAGAACCGGGUCUUCAACGAAGUCCUAAGUCACACGCGCAUCCCGCACGCGGAUGGAUCACCCUUUCUACUAUAUAUAGAGACGGUCUUAACUAGAACAAGAGCCCCGCUGCUGCCAUGGAUCGAUGAGGUGGCGCAAGCCUGCAUCUCCGGCGGGCAUCUCUAGGGUGCUUUAAUGACCUAACAAUGAUGACGGUCUGCUUGGUUUCGUUUCCAGUGAAGAUAGUCAUUACACGGCGGCUCAAGGACCACAUGCAUAUGCAAUUCCAACCGGAUCAACUUGUUUGAUCGCUCCCUGGUGCUGCUUUGUCAUUUCAUCAUUAUUCAAAUUCUAACAAAAAAGAAGAAAGGCGCUAGAGCUUGUAUGCAUUUACAAUCGAAUCAACGCAUACGCAUUGCACACUACGAUUAUCACUAAGCAUGCAACAUGAGUUUUUAUUUUCAAAUCAUGGUCAAUCCAAUGUAUGUCCAGGCACAUCAUUUUAAAUACAAAUGGACCUGUAGAUAAACCUGGAUUACAUCCGCUCACAACUGACACUCAUCUAGACUAAUAUGCAUCCAAGCACGCACCAACAACCACCUUAUAUGCAUGUUGACUCUGAAAUUCAUGAGCGACAAAACAUUAUUCACACUCAGUUUGAAAAUGUUGCUCAUCCUGAUUGAACAACUUGAAGAUAGACCUGACACAUUUGAGAAAUUUGUAGUGGCAAGUUUCAAUCCCUCAGAAGUUUAUUGCUUUAGUGGUUGGGAACAACAACAUAAACAAGGUGACAGACAUCAAUAUUCAACACUAGAGCUCACUCCCACAGCCACCAGCCACCAAUGCCAUGAUACCAAGAAACCAAGCCAUUUUUUCUUUGUGUACAAGAACUAUCACCAGCCAUUUCGUUUUCCACACUUCCACAGCUACCAGCCAACAAAGAAAAACACAAGCCCGCCU
Molecule: long non-coding RNA, 11639 nt
Filed under: Triticum aestivum (bread wheat)
Lineage: Eukaryota; Viridiplantae; Streptophyta; Magnoliopsida; Poales; Poaceae
Description: long non-coding RNA (TAES_LNC000633)
Source: RNAcentral